This 492-nucleotide ribosomal RNA is filed under the name uncultured bacterium. Its description in RNAcentral is "partial 16S ribosomal RNA". It matches the Rfam family "Bacterial small subunit ribosomal RNA", at positions 29 to 507 of the family's 1533-position model. The record is from RNAcentral.
AGUGAACGCUGGCGGUAGGCCUAACACAUGCAAGUCGAACGGCAGCACAGUAAGAGCUUGCUCUUACGGGUGGCGAGUGGCGGACGGGUGAGGAAUACAUCGGAAUCUACUUUUUCGUGGGGGAUAACGUAGGGAAACUUACGCUAAUACCGCAUACGCCCUACGGGUGAAAGCAGGGGAUCUUCGCACCUUGCGCGAUUGAAUGAGCCGAUGUCGGAUUAGCUAGUUGGCGGGGUAAAGGCCCACCAAGGCGACGAUCCGUAGCUGGUCUGAGUGGAUGAUCAGCCACACUGGAACGGAGACACGGUCCAGACUCCUACGGGAGGCAGCAGUGGGGAAUAUUGGACAAUGGGCGCAAGCCUGAUCCAGCCAUACCGCGUGGGUGAAGAAGGCCUUCGGGUUGUAAAGCCCUUUUGUUGGGAAAGAAAAGCAGCAGGUUAAUACCCCGCUGUUCUGACGGUACCCAAAGAAUAAGCACCGGCUAACUUCGUG